AAAAUAUCAAAAAAUACGCAAGCUGGGCAAUGUGGUUUAUGUCACUCCAGAUCAGCCAAGCAACCCGAGCAUGAUUCAUGUCUACCCUGCAAAGGAUCAUAUAGCCAUUCUCGGCAAUGUGAAGCAUUCAGCCAGAGCACAAAUGCAAGGUGGCUUCCAUAGGAGAAAAAACAUCAGCCCACGUGUUUCUCUCCCAGAAUCUAGCCAUUGGUGAGGUGCAUUUCUGUGCUGUGGCGCUCAGCAUUUCCCCAAGUCAAUGCAUCACUUCACAGCAAUGGUGAUUGCUGGCUAUUGACUGAGUGACAUUUUCAGCAAGUGGAGCAGCCGACUCUUGAUUGUCUGUACUCC
Molecule: long non-coding RNA, 348 nt
Filed under: Phascolarctos cinereus (koala)
Lineage: Eukaryota; Metazoa; Chordata; Mammalia; Diprotodontia; Phascolarctidae
Description: lncRNA (ENSPCIG00000034078.1)
Source: RNAcentral